GCUAUCCCCUGAGAGAUAGGAGAGGAGGAGAAACAGCCUGACAGGGGCCUGGAGCAGCUGGCUGGCGUCAGUAAUUUCCUGCAGGAGACUCUGCUGGCCGAGCACACAUCACCCUUCUGUUGCUCCUCUGUAUUCUCCCUUGUGCUACUAAAAUACGCUAAUGUAACUCCUGGGCUGUGCUAAGCUAAAUGCAGUUAUUUAACCUCAUUUCUAUGGAACCCAGGUCUAAAGCAGCAACAUCUAUUUGGAACAAGAUGGGGAGGAGCAAGAGUGAAUUCAUGCUCUUCUUCAUGGAGGUGGAUGUUUCUGGAAGGAGGUUUGUGAUGUCCUUUGCAGGGACAUGGAUGGAGUUGGAAGCCCUUAUCCUCAGCAAACUAAUGCAGGAACAGAAAACCAAACACUGCAUGUUCUUACUUAUAAGUGGGAACUGAAUGAUGAGAACACAUGGACACAUAAGGGGAAAUGACACACACUGGGGCCUGUCAGAGCUGAGGGGUUGUGGGGAGAGGGAGAGAAUCAGGAAUAAUGGCUAAUGUAUGCUGUGCUUAAUAUCUAGGUGAUGGGAUGAUCUGUGCAGCAAACCACCAUGGCACACGUUUACCUAUGUAACAAACCUGGACAUCCUGCACAUGUAUCCUGGAACUUAAAAUAAAAGUUGAAGAAAAAAAAAAAGAAAAAGUUUUGUGAAGUCUGGAGGUGUAAUGGACAGACACAGGCUUAGGGUGAG
This 727-nucleotide long non-coding RNA is filed under the name Pan troglodytes (chimpanzee). RNAcentral describes it as "long non-coding RNA NONPTRT006339". Lineage: Eukaryota; Metazoa; Chordata; Mammalia; Primates; Hominidae. The record is from RNAcentral.